AUUCCUUCUCAGCCUUUUGGCUAAGAUCAAUUGUAGUAUCUUUCUUAUCAGCUUAAUUACUUUUCAUAUUUUAGUGACAGAAAUAUUUGGAAAACCAAA
This is a small nuclear RNA of 99 nucleotides. Its record names the gene U2. It matches the Rfam family "U2 spliceosomal RNA". Rfam says of the family: U2 is a small nuclear RNA (snRNA) component of the spliceosome (involved in pre-mRNA splicing). Complementary binding between U2 snRNA (in an area lying towards the 5' end but 3' to hairpin I) and the branchpoint sequence (BPS) of the intron results the bulging out of an unpaired adenosine, on the BPS, which initiates a nucleophilic attack at the intronic 5' splice site, thus starting the first of two transesterification reactions that mediate splicing. The record is from Ensembl.